UCCUCUUUACAGAGGCAGUUCGUUCCGAGUCCCCGACUUUACUCGCUGGUAACAGAACGUGAGGGUUGCGCUCGUUGCGGGACUUAACCCAACAUUUCACAACACGAGCUGACGACAGCCAUGCACCACCUGUGCAUCACCUUCGAAAGCGGCUCCGUUUCGGGAGCUUGCAGAUGCAUGUCAAGCCCUGGUAAGGUUCUUCGCGUUGCAUCGAAUUAAGCCACAUGCUCCACCGCUUGUGCGGGCCCCCGCCAAUUCCUUUGAGUUUCAACCUUGCGGCCGUAGUCCCCAGGCGGUUCACUUAAUGCGUUAGCUGCGGCACCGAGGGAAACCCCCGACACCUAGUGCCCAACGUUUACGGCAUGGACUAC
This 371-nucleotide unclassified non-coding RNA is filed under the name uncultured bacterium. RNAcentral's name for it is "contains 16S-23S intergenic spacer region". The record is from RNAcentral.